GACUCCCCUGGACCCAGCUGUGUCUCCAUGAUGAGUGGAUGGAACAUCCUCUAUGGAACAUCCUUUUAACUUUAAAGAUGGAAAUCAGUCUAUUGAGAAAAGAAGAGUCCAGCAGCAGAGAGCAGACUCCCCUGGACCCAGCUGUGUCUCCAUGAAGAGUGACCACUCUAUGAAUCAUCCUGCUGAGUUGAAAGAUGGAAAUCAGUCUAUUGAGAAGAGCCCAGAGCAGCAGCAGAGAGCAGACUCCCCUGGACCCAGCUGUGUCUCCAUGAAGAGUGACCACUCUAUGAAUCAUCCUGCUGAGUUGAAAGAUGGAAAUCAGUCUAUUGAGAAAAGCCCAGAGCAGCAGCAGAGAGCAGACUCCCCUGGACCCAGCUGUGUCUCCAUGAAGAGUGACCACUCUAUGAAUCAUCCUGCUGAGUUGAAAGAUGGAAAUCAGUCUAUUGAGAAAAG
Gadus morhua (Atlantic cod) is the source of this 453-nucleotide long non-coding RNA. Lineage: Eukaryota; Metazoa; Chordata; Actinopteri; Gadiformes; Gadidae. The record is from Ensembl.